GUCAGUCUAACAGUUGCUUCACUGUUGACAAGCUGCAUUUCAGAAGCACAAACCAGAGCAAUAAUUGACUAACCCACAUUUUAUUUUUUUCUCCCCAGCGAAUGCCUAUAUGACUGGGAUUCAAAGAAUUUGGUGUGCUGGCUGAAUCAUCAGUUUCUCCCACAGUGAUGGCUAUCACAAUGCAGGUUUUCUGAACUAUUACAACACUGCCUCACAACCAAAGCAGAGUCCUCAGCUGGAGCAUACAGCUAGACUAAGACAUUAUUACUACUUGAAAGAUCAUUAAAACAAAACUCUCCACACUGAAAUUUGACCUACCAAGAAAAACAGCUCUUAAGGAUUUAUGAGGUCGUG
RNAcentral lists this long non-coding RNA (354 nucleotides) under Dromaius novaehollandiae (emu). RNAcentral's name for it is "lncRNA (ENSDNVG00000004513.1)". Lineage: Eukaryota; Metazoa; Chordata; Aves; Casuariiformes; Dromaiidae. The record is from RNAcentral.